UUGAACGAGAGUAGCCACCUAAGAGAAGCAUGAUCUAACCCCACCUAUUCCUGAAAGAGAGGCAUCCGUAUCUAAAAUAAAAGGAAGUUCGACCUUUGGAUAAGCUAAAAUCUCCGAAGAAACAAGAUUUUCUUUUAAUUUCUUGAAAGCCUCUUCGUAUUCCG
Neodiprion fabricii is the source of this 164-nucleotide long non-coding RNA. RefSeq lists it as uncharacterized. The transcript has 2 exons. Lineage: Eukaryota; Metazoa; Arthropoda; Insecta; Hymenoptera; Diprionidae. The record is from RefSeq and is a predicted model, not a curated record.